CAGCAGCGCGGUAAUACGGAGGAUCCAAGCGUUAUCCGGAAUCAUUGGGUUUAAAGGGUCCGUAGGCGGUCUUGUAAGUCAGUGGUGAAAGCCCAUCGCUCAACGGUGGAACGGCCAUUGAUACUGCAGGACUUGAAUUAUUGGGAAGUAACUAGAAUAUGUAGUGUAGCGGUGAAAUGCUUAGAGAUUACAUGGAAUACCAAUUGCGAAGGCAGGUUACUACCAAUUGAUUGACGCUGAUGGACGAAAGCGUGGGUAGCGAACAGGAUUAGAUACCCGCGUAGUCCCUGUCUCUUAUACA
RNAcentral lists this ribosomal RNA (301 nucleotides) under uncultured bacterium. Its description in RNAcentral is "partial 16S ribosomal RNA". It matches the Rfam family "Bacterial small subunit ribosomal RNA", at positions 509 to 808 of the family's 1533-position model. The record is from RNAcentral.